Molecule: long non-coding RNA, 2270 nt
Organism: Saccostrea cuccullata (small rock oyster)
Lineage: Eukaryota; Metazoa; Mollusca; Bivalvia; Ostreida; Ostreidae
Exons: 3
Source: RefSeq, a predicted model, not a curated record
AGUACAGAAAAGGUGAUUCAUCGAUAAUCUUUAAAUUCAAUAAAAUUGGGUUUAAUAUAUUCAUUUGGGUCUAAAAUAAAUAUAAACAGUUGAUUUCGUUAUAAUUCUUCUUUUUUCAUAUAGCCAGGGAUAAAGUACUUGAGGUGUAAUUUUGUAUAGAUAGUGUGCAAAUGAUGCCUAUUUCAGGAAAGAAUAUCUUUAAAACCCAAGAAGAUGUACAAAAACUUAAUACAUGAUUAAAGUGAAAAUGGAAGGCUUAAGAAAAAUUUACUUUAACAUUUUUGUGCGAACGAAGUAUUGAAAAGAUACAAGGUGUUUAAAAUCGAGAAUUUGUUAAGAUUCUUCAAAAGAGUUAUCUCCCUUUGCAAGUUUACAUAGGUGGCGCUAGUAAAAAUAAUGGCAGGCUCCACGGUUAGCAGUACGCUGCAAAGUUAUUUUGAUGCAUCCUGUGAUGUUUAUUGCAAAAAUAUGUGUGAAGUGACAUGAAUUGGUUGGAAGGAUUUUACAAGAACAGAUUAGGCAUAGUUUUUGGGGCGAAAGUAGGCAUGUGUCAUGUUGAUCAGUAUAUCCAUUAUUGACCAUGUUGACGCUCUCCCGAAAUGCUACUCGCCUACUGACACCAUUGUGAUCGAUCUCGGAUGUUAAACUUCUACGGUAACCAGAGUGCAAGAGUAAACUCUCAGAGAGGGGUGGCAGUCCGAUUUUUUCAGCAUACUCGACUUGGAGAGGGAAAAUGUCACAUUUGGACAGUUACAUUUCACCAGAAUGUACACGAUGGGCUGCAUCAUGGUUUUGAAGGAAAAGGUUAUACUAUUUAUUACAGACGGCAAGGAAACAUCAUUGAACACCACCAACUAAUAAGACUCUAAAGGAAUAAUGGAAAAUAGAAUAUUUAAAGCUGUCAAAAAGCAUAGAUUAGAGUUCAGUGGAUGCCGUGACGGUACUUUGGAUAAUGUUAAUCAGGCAGUGAUUCUCUUCCCAAGGAUCUUAAGUGCUUUUAGAAGAGGCUAAUAAACAAAGAACAGUCACUUACUACAGAAGAGAAGCAGGGGAGAUUAGUGAUAUUCUGUUUGGCAUGUACUGCACCUUACAAAGAUGUAAAACUUUUAAAAUUGUGUUUACAUAUACAAUGUUUAUAUUAUAAAUGUAUCUAGUAAUCAAUAUUAAUAUGAUUGAUAUUUUCAAAUGUUUUUUACAACAUUUUGCUGUUCAUUAAUGAAAAAAUAAUUUGUGUUGUAUUUGAAUUUUAAAAUGUAAAGUAAUUUAUUUUGAAAUGUAAACUGAUAUUCUUACAUGUAAACAUGUAUUGGCGUGUGUACAUGGUGUAUAUAUUUGACUCUGACAAAAGAUGAUGCUACUUCUUUUUUUGGUGAAAUUAUUAAUCACAAUGAUUUUUCUGCAAAUGAUUUUUUUUUAUUUUUGAUAGGGUAUCGUAUCUAUGAAACGUACUCAGCAUUUUUGUUUGGCUAUUUUUUAAAUCAUAGAUAUACCGGUAUAUUAUUUUCUUGAUAACUGAAAUCCUGAAAAAAUGAUAUUUUGUUGGUUUUUGUCAACAUGAAUUAUCUCCCCUUUUCAGCUUGAAAUUAGAAAUAAUACUGUACAUAGAUAUAAUUUGAUUAAUGAAAAUAAAUAAUUGUGUUGUAUUUGGAACUAUAAAGAAAUUUAAAUUAUUUAGUAAUGUUAUUUAUGUUUUAACAUGCAUGAAUAUAUACAUGUCAUUUAUUCGACUAUGACAAAAAAGUGAAUUUCCCAUUUUUUGUAUGAAACUCUUCAAUGACUUUUGGAAAUUAAUAAUCAUUUGCUCAAAAAUGUUUUUAUUAUUUUUUGCCAUAAGGUAUGAUUUCUAUGAAGUAAGUGCAGUCUUUCUGUUUGGCAGUAUUGUAUUUUUUCUUUAGAUUUUUUAUCAUAUAGCUGAAUUUAGCUGUAAAUCCUUUUAAAAUUGAAAAUUUCAGUUUUUCUCAACAUGGAUUAUCUCCCCUUUUCAGCUUAAAAUUAAAAACUACUACUGGACGUGGUAAUAUUUGGAUUAAUUAUGAAAAGUAAAUAAUUUAAUUGUAUUUGAAAUUGGUAAUAUAAAAAAAAUGGUUUUGAAAUGCCAUUUAUUUUUUAAAUGCCAACAUAUAUGGCAUAUAUUGGACUGUGACAAAAAGGUGAAAUUACCAUUUUUUGUACAAAAUUCAUCAGUUAUUUUGGGAAAUUAAUAAUCAUUUGGACAAAAAUGUUUUUAUUAUUUUAUUUGCUUUAGAGUAUAGUGUCUAUGAAACUACCAU